GUAGGUGAACCUGCGGAGGGAUCAUUACAAGUGACCCCGGUUUACCACCGGGAUGUUCAUAACCCUUUGUUGUCCGACUCUGUUGCCUCCGGGGCGACCCUGCCUUCGGGCGGGGGCUCCGGGUGGACACUUCAAACUCUUGCGUAACUUUGCAGUCUGAGUAAACUUAAUUAAUAAAUUAAAACUUUUAACAACGGAUCUCUUGGUUCUG
Molecule: unclassified non-coding RNA, 211 nt
Filed under: rhizosphere metagenome
Description: partial ribosomal RNA internal transcribed spacer region
Source: RNAcentral